AUUGAACGCUGGCGGCAUGCCUAACACAUGCAAGUCGAACGGCAGCAUGACCUAGCUUGCUAGGUUGAUGGCGAGUGGCGCACGGGUGAGUAAUGCGUAGGGAUAUACCUUAAAGUGGGGGAUAACCUGGGGAAACCCAGGCUAAUACCGCAUGAGCUCUGAGGAGGAAAGCUGGGGACUGUAAGAGGCCUGGCGCUUUAAGAUUAGCCUACGUCCGAUUAGCUAGUUGGUAGGGUAAAGGCCUACCAAGGCGACGAUCGGUAGCUGGUCUGAGAGGAUGAUCAGCCACACUGGGACUGAGACACGGCCCAGACUCCUACGGGAGGCAGCAGUGGGGAAUAUUGGACAAUGGGGGCAACCCUGAUCCAGCCAUGCCGCGUGUGUGAAGAAGGCCUUAUGGUUGUAAAGCACUUUAAGCGAGGAGGAGGCUACUUUAGUUAAUACCUGGAGAUAGUGGACGUUACUCGCAGAAUAAGCACCGGCUAACUCUGUGCCAGCAGCCGCCGUAA
RNAcentral lists this ribosomal RNA (509 nucleotides) under uncultured bacterium. RNAcentral's name for it is "partial 16S ribosomal RNA". It matches the Rfam family "Bacterial small subunit ribosomal RNA", at positions 30 to 523 of the family's 1533-position model. The record is from RNAcentral.